Molecule: long non-coding RNA, 382 nt
Organism: Magallana angulata
Lineage: Eukaryota; Metazoa; Mollusca; Bivalvia; Ostreida; Ostreidae
Exons: 2
Source: RefSeq, a predicted model, not a curated record
CUAUGCACAAUGCGGAAAAGGAAAAGGAAUCAGAGUUGGGGACCAAGGCCUGCACUUUAAAUGAACCCUCAGUAUCGGAUUCUCGACCCAAGAAACGAAAGAAAAUUUCAAUUGAUGAAUUGCAAAGAAUGCAGUAUGAGGUUUUAUGUUGUCAAAAGACACACAUUGGACUCAAGAAUGCGAAGAUUCAGAAGGACAUUGAGCGGUCAGAACUUGAAACUGAAAACUUGAGGCUGCGGAAUGCCAAGUUGACCCAUGAAAUUGAGCUCUUAAAACAAAAUCUUGCGCAAAAUGAAAAUGCCUUGCUUGCAUUGCAAGCUUUAUCUGAUGAGUAAAAAAAUUAUGAAUUAAAUAAGUACACAGGUCAUGUGUUAAAAUGUAA